RNAcentral lists this small RNA (646 nucleotides) under Pan troglodytes (chimpanzee). RNAcentral's name for it is "processed transcript". The record is from RNAcentral. Lineage: Eukaryota; Metazoa; Chordata; Mammalia; Primates; Hominidae.
AAUCAAGAGUUCACUGAUGACAUUGAGUACUUGUUAAGUGGCUUAAAGAGCACUCAGCCUCUAAACACACGUUGCCUUAGUGUUAUUAGCUUGGCUACUAAAUGUGCCAUGCCCAGUUUUCGAAUGCACCUGAGAGCACAUGGGAUGGUAGCAAUGGUCUUUAAAACCUUGGAUGAUUCCCAGCACCAUCAGAAUCUGUCCCUCUGUACAGCUGCCCUCAUGUAUAUACUGAGUAGAGAUCGUUUGAACAUGGAUCUUGAUAGAGCUAGCUUAGAUCUAAUGAUUCGACUUUUGGAACUGGAACAAGAUGCUUCGUCAGCCAAGCUACUGAAUGAAAAAGACAUGAACAAAAUUAAAGAAAAAAUCCGAAGGCUCUGUGAAACUGUACACAACAAGCAUCUUGACCUAGAAAAUAUAACGGUGGGUUCCUUCUUCCUUCCUUCUAAGAUGAGAAUUACUUUCAGAAAGUCUUUGGUUAGUUGCAGUAGCUGUGUGACUGUGGGCAAAUUAUUUUAAUUCUAACCUUGGUUUACAGUUUGGCAAAUUUCUUAGGUUUAGAUCUGAGCAUAAUUUCAUUCCUUGCCUGAACUUCCUAAACUAGUUUUUCUGUAUUUAGGCUUUUUGCCCAAUAAAUAGUUGCACAUUU